Long non-coding RNA from Dermacentor andersoni, 2787 nucleotides. RefSeq lists it as uncharacterized. Lineage: Eukaryota; Metazoa; Arthropoda; Arachnida; Ixodida; Ixodidae. The record is from RefSeq and is a predicted model, not a curated record.
AAACAUAAAUUAGGGUGAAAUGAAAUAAGUAUCUUGCAGAUGAGAAUUAAAGUGUCUAGUGUUACAGAUAUGAAUAAUCAAUUAUCUAGGUAAUUUGUGAAUUUCACGAGCAUAAUGAGUAGUUACAAGAAUUCUAGUAUGCAAUUCGGUUUGUCUCUCGCAGAAAGAUGCAGAGGGCUUCACAAACGUUCCUGUGGCUGUAGCCUAGUACAGAUAGCCCCAAAGGAAAGAAUUACAGGAAGCGUCAAAUUCAAUCCGAGUUUUUGGAAGGGUUCUUCAUGAAAAUAUUUUCCGUUGAAUAAUGAAACGGCGGCAUGUCAAAAGGAAGUGUUGCAGAGAUUCACUCUCAUUGCAUAAAGGACACAAAAGCGAUAAAGCCAGACCAGACCUGUGGAGGUAAUAGUUCAGGGACUCUGCACCGUAGUCUUCUUAUCGCUUCGGCUGACAUUGUCUUCGUCUGAUCCUGCCGCUUUCUAUGCACGUGCACGUUUCUUCGUAUGAUCUGCAGUGUAAAACUUUCUUUCUAUGCCUGCGAAUGUUCCGCCAAUGUCGGAAAAACUGUGGAGAGGAUACAAGGCUCGCUGCGCGGCUGUGCGAUGUGGCAACUCGGGGAGCAACGCAAGGGCGAAAUUUUUCCGUUCACCAGCGGACGAGAGAUGUGACAUUUGGCGAAAUUACGCUGAAUGGGGAGUCCUGGCGGGGCUUCCAUGGGAGCAGAUGACACAGCGGCUAUACGGCCUCUGCUCUGACCACUUCAGAGGAAGGGACUGCGCCGACCUCGUCGUGGUCGGCUGUGCCGACUGUUGGAGUGGAAGAGCGGUCCCUCAUCGAUGAAGGUUCUGCACUGCCACAGCGAGGCCAAAAGCGGAAAACACACUCACCAGACACCGCAGGCGUCACCAACCGACUGAGAAAUGAUACACAAACGUAUCGCAAGACAGCGAAAUUAAAGCGAUGCCGAAAUAUUACCACGAGGGAAGCACCAGACAAGUUGAUGUAUCAUCUGAGCCCAGAGUUCCACCAAUUCUUGCAGUGCCAGUUGACGCUCCACUAUCGCAAGAGGAAGGGAAGGACAUGGAUAAAUCUUUUCCGGAGCACAUUGGUGUGGCCACGCAGUUUUGCGGUGUGUCCACUGUACUGAAAGAUAAGCUAAACAGCAGUGUACUAUAAGAUAUAUUUCGUUCUAAUAAGUAUCGCAUAGGUCUGCUGCAGUAGUUCUGCUAUGCGUAGCUUAUGCUGCUCAUAAAUGACAUCAAUCUGGAUCUCAAAAAACAGCGUGAGAGAACACCCGUUGCAGAAAGAAAGCCCCAAAAGCUUGAAAACUACGAAAAAAUUAUUGCGGGUAUUUUGUUCUUUUUGUAAUUCCGAUAGCUUUUAGGGCGCUCUCCUGAUUAGCCUCUCUCUAGAAUAUAUUGCGGCAUAUAUCAAUAUUUGCAUAAACAUCGUGCAACGUGUUCUUUCUGCAGACAGUGAUUGCUCUCACACUUUCACCCUCCUCUUCAAAGAUUAUUACAUAGCUACCAUACAUGGAUCUUGGGAUGCUAGAAUCUUCUUGAGCUUACUUCAGUAAAGUUGUGCAUGUACUAAUGUUGCUCAGCACUCUUGACUUCAGUGGUUUCAUUAACAUAGCAAAAGUGGGAAGGGAAAGGGGGCGUCUCCUUUCGGCAAAGUCACCAAUAAUCUUAAUACGAAAGGAAAGAAUGCUAUGCCAGAGACGAGUGUCCUAUAAAAGUUAAAAUGCUUUCACCUCCUUAUUGUGUCGACACCGAAAUUCUCAUGGCGGAUGACCUCCAGCAAAUGGGAAUCCGGUAACACAGCUCUAACACCUGUCCUGUGCUUCAAACAAGUCGCACGAAACUGAGCCUACAGGUUCUGUUAAAGAAAGUGCGUAAUGUACACUCAGCGAGGAAGGUCUUGCAAACAACUCAAAAGGGAUUUGUUCUGAGCAGGUUGCCCGGACGCAUUGAAUGCAGCUGACUUGCGUUGCUUUUAGAAAAUACUUCUCCAUGUCCCAAAGCUACGCGUUCAAUAAUACCUUUGUGCAUCACUCUGUACUUGCCCAACCUCUACUGACGAUCAACCGCCCAUGGUUCUCCUGCAUUUACUGUUUCUCAAAAAAUAUAUAUAAAAGAAACUUCGCGCUAUUUGUUAUUGUCUUGAAACUGUGCCAUUUAUGCCUAGCUGACGGUAGAACAAACGAAGUGCAGUGCAAAUUUGAAGAGACACCUGCAAUAUGCUCGCGAAGAAUUUCGUGUUGAUACACUGCUCGUAAUGUUACAGAUCUGAAUGAAGCUCUAUAGUGGUCUUACAUGUUGUAUUGCGAAACAAAACCACAUAUGAAAAGAGACUGCAGACAUUUUCAAUAUAAUUUUCUGGAUAUUUAUCGGCACAUUAGCACAAGGAGAGCUAUGCAGAAAAUUGAAUAGGUAUAGCGUGUUGCUUGGACUAGGAAGUAUACCCGUUGUAUGGAAUAAAAAAGGAAGUUUUUGUUACUGGUAUGCGAAAAAUGUGAAUUUGCUGCUCUUAAUAAUCGUUUUGUUAUACACAAAUAACUUGCGACAAAAAUUGCUUUGGUAGAGUUGCUACGUGCACAGCAAACAAACAUGGCCUCUGUAGCAAUUUUGUCUAUAAGGAAUUUUAGAAAACUUUCUUACCUCUGUAUGAUCGUAGUACAGAAUGCGCUUAUUUGUACUGACUUAGCUCUACAUUAUUGUGUUGUGUACUGAAUGCGCUGUUGUGCAACAGGUUGCUAAUAAAAACAGUGAAUAAACAACAUUUUUCUGCCUA